AGAGUGAAGGAGCAAAGGGGACUCGGUCGCCAUGUUAGGAGUACUGGGACGAUUCCACGGAGCCGGGCAGAGGUUUUAGGGGAAUGAUUAACAAAGGCGUCCGAAGAAAUCGUUGUUGGAAGGUGGCCAAGGUGGAAAGAGACGUUGCUUUGGCCCUGCAAGUAAGAAGAGAGAAGGAACAGCCUGAAGGAGUAACACUAAAUUUAAAAUGACACUUUUUUACCAACCAGCGAAAGCAGAUGUUCAAAGGGGAUAUUGGCCAGGUGGGUUGGGAGAGAAGGAGCCAAUUCAAUGUCUAGUCUUUAUUGGAAAGAAGAAACUUUACAGCUCAUUUUGAGCAACUUAGUGCAGAGGCUCAGUGGGUCAACUGGCAGGGCACCAGAUUGUAAUGGAUUUCACAGUUAGGGCAUUGCUGGGUCUCAUCUUUGUGCAGCCAAAAACUAGAGGACAGCACUGUUGUACUCUUCACAGAUGCAGCCCACUAUUCACUUGUUGGUGAUGGUG
RNAcentral lists this long non-coding RNA (504 nucleotides) under Pongo abelii (Sumatran orangutan). RNAcentral describes it as "lincRNA". Lineage: Eukaryota; Metazoa; Chordata; Mammalia; Primates; Hominidae. The record is from RNAcentral.